UAGAGUUUGAUCAUGGCUCAGAUUGAGCGCUGGCGGCAGGCCUAACACAUGCAAGUCGAACGGUAACAGGAAGCAGCUUGCUGCUUUGCUGACGAGUGGCGGACGGGUGAGUAAUGUCUGGGAAACUGCCUGAUGGAGGGGGAUAACUACUGGAAACGGUAGCUAAUACCGCAUAACGUCGCAAGACCAAAGAGGGGGACCUUCGGGCCUCUUGCCAUCAGAUGUGCCCAGAUGGGAUUAGCUUGUUGGUGGGGUAACGGCUCACCAAGGCGACGAUCCCUAGCUGGUCUGAGAGGAUGACCAGCCACACUGGAACUGAGACACGGUCCAGACUCCUACGGGAGGCAGCAGUGGGGAAUAUUGCACAAUGGGCGCAAGCCUGAUGCAGCCAUGCCGCGUGUAUGAAGAAGGCCUUCGGGUUGUAAAGUACUUUCAGCGGGGAGGAAGGUGUUGUGGUUAAUAACCGCAGCAAUUGACGUUACCCGCAGAAGAAGCACCGGCUAACUCCGUGCCAGCAGCCGCGGUAAUACGGAGGGUGCAAGCGUUAAUCGGAAUUACUGGGCGUAAAGCGCACGCAGGCGGUCUGUUAAGUCAGAUGUGAAAUCCCCGGGCUCAACCUGGGAACUGCAUCUGAUACUGGCAGGCUUGAGUCUCGUAGAGGGGGGUAGAAUUCCAGGUGUAGCGGUGAAAUGCGUAGAGAUCUGGAGGAAUACCGGUGGCGAAGCGGCCCCCUGGACGAAGACUGACGCUCAGGUGCGAAAGCAUGGGGAGCAAACAGGAUUAGAUACCCUGGUAGUCCACGCUGUAAACGAUGUCGACUUGGAGGUUGUUCCCUUGAGGAGUGGCUUCCGGAGCUAACGCGUUAAGUCGACCGCCUGGGGAGUACGGCCGCAAGGUUAAAACUCAAAUGAAUUGACGGGGGCCCGCACAAGCGGUGGAGCAUGUGGUUUAAUUCGAUGCAACGCGAAGAACCUUACCUACACUUGACAUCCACGGAACUUAGCGGAGAUGCUUUGGUGCCUUCGGGAACCGUGAGACAGGUGCUGCAUGGCUGUCGUCAGCUCGUGUUGUGAAAUGUUGGGUUAAGUCCCGCAACGAGCGCAACCCUUAUCCUUUGUUGCCAGCGAUUCGGUCGGGAACUCAAAGGAGACUGCCAGUGAUAAACUGGAGGAAGGUGGGGAUGACGUCAAGUCAUCAUGGCCCUUACGAGUAGGGCUACACACGUGCUACAAUGGCAUAUACAAAGAGAAGCGACCUCGCGAGAGCAAGCGGACCUCAUAAAGUAUGUCGUAGUCCGGAUUGGAGUCUGCAACUCGACUCCAUGAAGUCGGAAUCGCUAGUAAUCGUGGAUCAGAAUGCCACGGUGAAUACGUUCCCGGGCCUUGUACACACCGCCCGUCACACCAUGGGAGUGGGUUGCAAAAGAAGUAGGUAGCUUAACCUUCGGGAGGGCGCUUACCACUUUGUGAUUCAUGACUGGGGUGAAGUCGUAACAAGG
RNAcentral lists this ribosomal RNA (1498 nucleotides) under uncultured bacterium. RNAcentral's name for it is "16S ribosomal RNA". It matches the Rfam family "Bacterial small subunit ribosomal RNA". The record is from RNAcentral.